GUCUGAUGUGAAAUCCCGCAGCUCAACUGCGGAACUGCAUCGGAUACUCUCCGGCUAGAGGAAUGGAGGGGAGACUGGAAUUCUCGGUGUAGCAGUGAAAUGCGUAGAUAUCGAGAGGAACACCAGUGGCGAAGGCGAGUCUCUGGACAUUUCCUAACGCUGAGGCACGAAAGCCAGGGGAGCAAACGGG
Molecule: ribosomal RNA, 190 nt
Filed under: uncultured bacterium
Lineage: Bacteria
Description: partial 16S ribosomal RNA
Rfam family: Bacterial small subunit ribosomal RNA
Source: RNAcentral